This 484-nucleotide ribosomal RNA is filed under the name uncultured bacterium. Its description in RNAcentral is "partial 16S ribosomal RNA". It matches the Rfam family "Bacterial small subunit ribosomal RNA", at positions 30 to 507 of the family's 1533-position model. The record is from RNAcentral.
AUUGAACGCUGGCGGCAGGCCUAACACAUGCAAGUCGAGCGGAUGAAGGGAGCUUGCUCCUGGAUUCAGCGGCGGACGGGUGAGUAAUGCCUAGGAAUCUGCCUGGUCGUGGGGGAUAACGUCCGGUAACGGGCGCUAAUCCCGCAUACGUCCUGAGGGAGAAAGUGGGGGAUCUUCGGACCUCACGCUAUCAGAUGAGCCUAGGUCGGAUUAGCUAGUUGGUGGGGUAAAGGCCUACCAAGGCGACGAUCCGUAACUGGUCUGAGAGGAUGAUCAGUCACACUGGAACUGAGACACGGUCCAGACUCCUACGGGAGGCAGCAGUGGGGAAUAUUGGGCAAUGGGCGAAAGCCUGAUCCAGCCAUGCCGCGUGUGUGAAGAAGGUCUUCGGAUUGUAAAGCACUUUAAGUUGGGAGGAAGGGCAGUAAGUUAAUACCUUGCUGUUUUGACGGUACCAACAGAAUAAGCACCGGCUAACUUCGUG